UCGGGCGGAGCUCGCAUGCGCGUGCGUGUGGUGGCGCAGACGCUCUCGGGUUACCCGGGGUAUCCGCCCGAGGGCGAGCGGCGCCGAAGGGGGCGCUGUAUCACGUAUGCUUGCAAGCGGGCUGCUGCUAAUUUUAGUGAAGACAGUUGCAAAAUGUGGCCUGGAUCAAUCGGAAGUAUUGUAACAAUGAAGGAUGAAAGGUAGAGCUGUGUGAAUGUGAACAUAAGUUAUUUUAUAAGGCUUAUCGGUUAAAAAAAAUAACACUUAAGAUUAGGAAAACCGAAGUUUACUUGUCACAUAUACAGUGAAUACGUACAUAUUUUAUGAAGAUCAUAAGCCAAAAGGAAAUGAAGUCUAGUGAAAUCUGAAAGAACAGAA
This 378-nucleotide long non-coding RNA is filed under the name Fukomys damarensis (Damara mole-rat). RNAcentral describes it as "lncRNA (ENSFDAG00000025579.1)". The record is from RNAcentral. Lineage: Eukaryota; Metazoa; Chordata; Mammalia; Rodentia; Bathyergidae.